GUAGGGAAUAUUGGACAAUGGGCGCAAGCCUGAUCCAGCAAUGCCGCGUGAGUGAAGAAGGCCUUCGGGUUGUAAAGCUCUUUCACCCGUGACGAUGAUGACGGUAACGGGAGAAGAAGCCCCGGCUAACUCCGUGCCAGCAGCCGCGGUAAUACGGAGGGGGCAAGCGUUGUUCGGAAUUACUGGGCGUAAAGGGCGCGUAGGCGGCUUUGCAAGUUGGGCGUGAAAGCCCUGGGCUUAACCCAGGAAUUGCGCUUGAGACUGCGAGGCUUGAGUGCGGGAGAGGUGAGUGGAAUUCCCAGUGUAGAGGUGAAAUUCGUAGAUAUUGGGAAGAACACCAGUGGCGAAGGCGGCUCACUGGCCCGCAACUGACGCUGAGGCGCGAAAGCGUGGGGAGCAAACAGGAUUAGAAACCCCUGUAGUCC
This 425-nucleotide ribosomal RNA is filed under the name uncultured bacterium. RNAcentral's name for it is "bacterial SSU rRNA". It matches the Rfam family "Bacterial small subunit ribosomal RNA", at positions 354 to 796 of the family's 1533-position model. The record is from RNAcentral.